ACCUGGAGAAGCUAAAGGAGGUGAACCAGAGGAAGCUGGAAGAUCUGCAGAUCUGGGAGCUACCCCAUGCCAACCACACAGUCAGAGCUCAACACAGAAGACCUUAGGUCCUUUGAUAUGGGAUCAUUGAUAAUACAGUUGAGCACUGUACCUACCUCAACUUUGGAGGGAAAAGGAAUCCACCCAUGCAUUUCCGUUCCCAUGGUGCUUCAUCGCUUCCUCAAGUUUUGCCAGACCUGGAGUGGC
Long non-coding RNA from Suricata suricatta (meerkat), 246 nucleotides. RefSeq lists it as uncharacterized. The transcript has 3 exons. The record is from RefSeq and is a predicted model, not a curated record. Lineage: Eukaryota; Metazoa; Chordata; Mammalia; Carnivora; Herpestidae.